Molecule: long non-coding RNA, 225 nt
Filed under: Phascolarctos cinereus (koala)
Lineage: Eukaryota; Metazoa; Chordata; Mammalia; Diprotodontia; Phascolarctidae
Description: Prostate androgen-regulated transcript 1 conserved region 1 (ENSPCIG00000013620.2)
Rfam family: Prostate androgen-regulated transcript 1 conserved region 1
Source: RNAcentral
UAAGAAAUAGAUCCAAAAUACAGUUGACGGUGACUUAAAUCGCACAGAGCUGUAUUAACCCUAUUAGUUUUUGGUCACUCUACCAUUCACGCUGCAGCUAAUACGACCUGGAGGGAGGGGAGAGGGAGGCGGGUAAUGAAUCAUCUGCUAGUUCACCAUUUCCUAAUUACAGGCACUCCCUCUCAGGACACGUAAUUAAUUUACUGAGUUGGAAAAAAAAAAGUC